Triticum urartu is the source of this 1330-nucleotide non-coding RNA. Lineage: Eukaryota; Viridiplantae; Streptophyta; Magnoliopsida; Poales; Poaceae. The record is from RefSeq and is a predicted model, not a curated record.
CCAUCCCCAUCCCCGUCUGUUACCUUUGGAUGCACUCGCCAGAUUGGACGCGGCUAACCAUCAUCGGCGGCGCCGCCCACCCGCGGCCAACCACCACCGCAGCAAGUCGCCGCCGGAGCGGAUCCCACCUCGCUGCUCUGCGGCCCAUCGAGGAGAGCGAGAAGACCCUCGCCCUCGCUCGAACCGGCGAGGCAAAGCCGCACCGGCCUCCUCCGCUGGCGCCGGCGCUACCCGGAUGACCACGGCCUCUCUCCAUCGACGCAUUUCGCACACGCGAUGGGCACAGGUAUGGCCGCCGACGCCGACGCCGACGCCUCCGCAGGGCCGCGCUCGAUGUACCGCCGUCGGCAUCGCUCUCGGGCGGAUCCCAGCCUUCCCCAUGGAGCUCAUGCCCUCAGCAAGCUCUGGCCCACCCCCACCCCCACCCCCAUCCGGACCACUGCACUCCUCGACGCUGAUGAUUUUGGCAGAGAUUCAGACAGGGGACAAAAACUGGACCGCCCCCCCUGGCUCGGGAGCAUCGGUGCUCAGUGUCAAGUCUGCACACUGCCAAGCAAAUAGCACGUUGCAAUGAACCAAUAACCCUGCACUGCAAUUUUCAGCAGGCAGAGAUUCAGGCAGGGGGCCAAACUUGCAGGCGGCUGGGAUUGUCACCACUCGCGAGCAUCAGUGCUCAAUGUCAAUUCUGCACACUGCCGAGCAAAUAGUGCGUUGCAAGUAUGGUUCAAUUUUCAUUAGGAUUGCCGAUUAGUGUGCUGGCUUGUUUGAUGGUAGCUACUACUUCAAAUUUGUGUCCUCAGAGUACUUCAAACAGCUCCGAGCAAGGAUUAGUCGCAUGAAAAUGCUGGAUGGCGCACAAGGAGGGGCGUGCCAGCGACAUGGGAGAACGCGGUGUGCGGGAGGUACAUCGAUGUCUCUGAUGCUGCUUGGGGUAACUCCUGUCCGGCAGUUGCAGCGGACUUCCCGAUAGAAACUUCACCCAUUGCUGUUGACCAGCACCUAGGUUCUGACAGAUGGUAGCAAAAAAGGACACAUACAAUGUUCUUAAGCAGCAUUUUUUGAAGAACGGCGAGCCAAUUUGGUUGUGUUAUCUUUCAUGGUCUCGGCAAUUCCACUUUGUAUGUGUAUCUCAGGUGUUAGUCUGGUCUCUAGUUUCAAUGCUAGAUUUGGUUUGGACUGUAAACAGUAUGAAAUUGUGAUGUAAAAAAUCUGGCUGCUGCCAUACAUUUGUCUAAAUCCCUUACUUGAAUGUGGAAAUCAGAUUAUUUGGUUGCUGCCAUACAUUUGUCUAAAUCCCUUACUUAGUGCAGAAACAGUGGUAUUUUAUUGC